CAGUAGCCGCGGUAAUACGAGGGGGGCAAGCGUUGUUCGGAAUUAUUGGGCGUAAAGGGUGCGUAGGCGGCUUGACAAGUCUUGUGUGAAAUCUAUGGGCUCAACCCAUAGUCUGCACGGGAAACUGUCGGGCUUGAGAAUGGGAGAGGUGAGUGGAAUUUCCGGUGUAGCGGUGAAAUGCGUAGAUAUCGGAAGGAACACCUGUGGCGAAAGCGGCUCACUGGACCAUUUCUGACGCUGAUGAACGAAAGCUAGGGGAGCAAACAGGAUUAGAUACCCCAGUAGUCCCUGUCUCUUAUAC
RNAcentral lists this ribosomal RNA (301 nucleotides) under uncultured bacterium. RNAcentral's name for it is "partial 16S ribosomal RNA". It matches the Rfam family "Bacterial small subunit ribosomal RNA", at positions 509 to 807 of the family's 1533-position model. The record is from RNAcentral.